This is a non-coding RNA of Myripristis murdjan (pinecone soldierfish), 360 nucleotides long. Lineage: Eukaryota; Metazoa; Chordata; Actinopteri; Holocentriformes; Holocentridae. The record is from the annotation of a RefSeq genome assembly.
AUGAUGAUGUCACAGAUUCUCCUGCUGGGCACCCUGGGGCUCCUUGUUCAGGGUUCAUCAGGAGAAAUCACUCUGACUCAGUCUCCUGGAUCUCAGUCUGUUAGUUCAGGACAGACUGUCUCUAUCAGAUGUAAAGCCAGUUCAAAUGUUAAUAGCAACCUCCACUGGUACCUUCAGAAACCUGGACAAGCUCCUAAACUCUUGAUAUAUUCUGCCACAACCCUUCAGUCUGGAGUUUCAAGUCGUUUUAGUGGAAGUGGAUCUGAGACUGACUUCACUCUGACCAUCAGUGGAGUCCAGGCUGAAGAUUCAGGAGUUUACUAUUGUCAGCAGCACCAAAGCUAUCCGUUCACACAGUGA